AACGCACCUUGCGCUCCUUGGUAUUCCGAGGAGCACGCCUGUUCGAGUGUCUUGAAAUUCUCAAACUGGGAUAGCUUUAUUGUUAACUUAGUUUGGUUUUGGGCUCUGCCGUCUCCUAAUAGUUUGUGAACGGCUGGCCUUAAAAGUAUUAGCUGGCCCUUGUUGUAGGAUUGGUUCUACUCAGCGUGAUAAGUUUAUGACCGCUGAGGACAUCUUUCGGGAUGGCCAGCUCUGCCUUGGAUUGCUUCUAAUCAUGGCAUUUGGAGUCCGCUCCUUAUCCACAACUUUUCAACUUUGACCUCGAAUCAGGUGGGACUACCCGCUGAACUUAA
This 332-nucleotide unclassified non-coding RNA is filed under the name uncultured fungus. RNAcentral describes it as "sequence contains ITS2". The record is from RNAcentral. Lineage: Eukaryota; Fungi.